Molecule: ribosomal RNA, 497 nt
Filed under: uncultured bacterium
Lineage: Bacteria
Description: partial 16S ribosomal RNA
Rfam family: Bacterial small subunit ribosomal RNA
Source: RNAcentral
GAUGAACGCUGGCGGCGUGCCUAAUACAUGCAAGUCGAGCGAACAGAUGAGGAGCUUGCUCCUCCGACGUUAGCGGCGGACGGGUGAGUAACACGUGGAUAACCUACCUAUAAGACUGGGAUAACUUCGGGAAACCGGAGCUAAUACCGGAUAAUAUAUUGAACCGCAUGGUUCAAUAGUGAAAGACGGUUUUGCUGUCACUUAUAGAUGGAUCCGCGCCGCAUUAGCUAGUUGGUAAGGUAACGGCUUACCAAGGCAACGAUGCGUAGCCGACCUGAGAGGGUGAUCGGCCACACUGGAACUGAGACACGGUCCAGACUCCUAGGGGAGGCAGCAGUAGGGAAUCUUACGCAAUGGGCGAAAGCCUGACGGAGCAACGCCGCGUGAGUGAUGAAGGUCUUCGGAUCGUAAAACUCUGUUAUUAGGGAAGAACAAAUGUGUAAGUAACUAUGCACGUCUUGACGGUACCUAAUCAGAAAGCCACGGCUAACUACGUG